Molecule: long non-coding RNA, 538 nt
Filed under: Ricinus communis (castor bean)
Lineage: Eukaryota; Viridiplantae; Streptophyta; Magnoliopsida; Malpighiales; Euphorbiaceae
Description: long non-coding RNA (RCOM_LNC003417)
Source: RNAcentral
UUGUUAAAAAUGGUAUGUGCUUGAAGAUUGGAGCUCGAAGAACAUAAGAUUUGCCUCGGCACAUGUUAAGUUGACGAACUGAUCAUCAGUUAGAAGCCGAUACUUGAAAAGCUAAGUUGUCUAUUCUUGAGCUAAAUGUUAACUUUCUGAAUUUCUAUUUCUAUGUUAGUACUUCUACCUCAUCUCUACCAAACAUUACUUUUGAAGUAACUCCACCAUGCAACUUAAUAAAAUUAAAGAUUAGCUACUAACCCUAUCAUGAAAUUAUUUAGAGUUGAGGUAGAGGUACGGACCUAGAAAAUAGAAAUUGGGAGAGUGAACAAAAUAUAGUUUGAUGACUGUUAAUUAGAAAUAUAAAAUUUAUUAAACUCUAAUUUGUUAAAAGUGGUAUGUGCUUGAAGAUUGGAGCUCGAAGAACAUAAGAUUUGCCUCGACACAUGUUAAGAUGAUGAACUGAUCAUUAGUUAGAAGCCGAUACUUGAAAAGCUAAGUAGCUAAUUUUUAAUUUUAUUAAGUUGCAUGCUAGGGUUCAUUCAAA